CAUUUUACGGGUCAAAGUUGAGAGAUAAGUAGCAAGCUAAUCAUUUUGUUUAUUUUAUUUAAAAAUAAAUUUAGCUAAAAAUGUGAAUUAAUUAGGAUUUGAACUUGAGACCUCGGGUACUAACUACUAAACCCGUUGCCAUUUGCACUAGGGACGGUCGGUAAUUAAAAAUGCAUUAUAGAUCAAAUUUUCUGUAGUUAGAAGUGUGAUAGUUAUAAUUACAUAGAUCUUAUUUGUUGACUGGAUGUAGAAAAUAUAGUAAUAUUUAUAAAUAUUUUGUUUGAUUGUGCACAAUUAUUAAGUGCAAUUAUAAAAUUUUAUCAUUUUAUAUAUAGAUGAUAAAUAUUACUCUCUAUAUUGUCCUAUUUAAGGGUGGUUUGGUUUGAGUUACCCUAGCAGGAUUACAGGCAAUCCUGCGAGAAUUACUAUAUUUGAUUCAUUUGGUAUGUAUAAAAUUACACCGACACUACAACAAAAACUGUUUAUAGCGAUACUUUUAAAUAUAGCUACAUGUCAAAAAAGUGCUGCUAGCUAAAAUUACCGACACUUUUAAAAAGUGUUGCUAUAUGUGGGGUCGCUAGGUAUAUAGUGACAGUUAAAGAGUGUCGCUAUAACCUAAAAGAGUGCUGCUAAUUUACCAACACUUAUUUAAGCAUUUAGCAACCGCCGAAACUCUAUCUCGUUGGCUGCGGUGGCGGAGGAGGACGACAGGAAAGGCUUUUCGUCUAGAAUUUCAGUGAAUUGAGUGAAGAGAGAAGAAAAGAUGGUAAUUGAUUUUUCUUUUUUUUUUUCUUUUCUGUUUGUAAUCGGGCCAAAUGGACUGGGUGUGGUGGGUUGAGUAAAGUAAUCUUUUAUUUUUGGUUGGAUUGGGCUUUAUAUUUAGGCAUUAGUAGAUGUUUUUUUAAGUUUUAGAAUAAAUGGGACACUUACUCAAAAGUGUCCCAAACAUGUGUUCCUAUAACCUAAUUCUGUUGUAGUGCGAAAAUAUUACCGAGGGUGUGUAUCUUAGAUUACUGAAAACGGCUAAUCUUGCGUGUUAUAUAUUACAAGUUUACUCCUCCAACUCUCGAAACCCUUUCAAUAUGUUAUUUUGAAAUUUUUAAUUUUUAAUUUUUAAAUAUUUAAACUUUAAAUUUUAAAAUUUAAAAUUCAAAUUUGUAUUUUAAAUUCUAAAUUUUAAAUUUAGAUUUUAAAUUUUAAAUUUUAAAUUUUAAAAUUUAAAUUUAAAAUUAAAAUUUAUAUUUAAAUUGUAGAUUUUAAAUUUAUAAAUUUCAUAUCUAUAUUUUAAAUUAAAAUAUUAAAUUUUAUAUUUUUGUUCAAAUUUAAAAUUUUUAAAAAAUAAAUUAUUUAAAAUAAAAUUUUGUAAAAAAUAUUAUUUGUAAACAGUAAAAAAAAAAGUUUGCCAAAUAUGACUAAAGGCAAUUUUGAAAUAGAGUAUACUUUAUUGUCAAAAUUUCUGAAUUUUAUAGACUGAACCAAACAUGAUAAUGCUAUAAACAAUACAAUCCAACAUUAUAUUAUUGCAUUAAACCAAAUGCGCUGAUGUAGCAUCAGUAGUAAUCUCAUUUAGAAAUUCAAAAUACCUGUAUAUAUCAAAAUACUCUGUAAUACUAUAUAACUGGAACCAAACCCGUCCUUAAUGUUAUUUUCUAUUGGUGUUGUUGUUAAAACCGUGACCAAUUAAUUUUCUCCUAUUUAAUUUAAAUCAUAUCUAUACGGUGAGGAUAAGUGUUGAAGAUACAAUAUAGAAAUAU
RNAcentral lists this long non-coding RNA (1754 nucleotides) under Ananas comosus (pineapple). RNAcentral's name for it is "long non-coding RNA (ACOM_LNC022848)". Lineage: Eukaryota; Viridiplantae; Streptophyta; Magnoliopsida; Poales; Bromeliaceae. The record is from RNAcentral.